CCCAAUAUACCCACCCCACUAAAGUGGUGUAGGGUAUAAACACUGUCCUUUUCAGAUGCAUUGACUCUUUAUCGAACUGCUGGGAAAUUACUCAAAAUUCCCUUUUAGUACUAUUUGGUACCAAACAAAAGUUGUACAAACUCGCUCCACUCUGUCUAUAUAAUCUUGUCGGUCGUAUGCUUGAAGUUCUUGGCCGUUUGGUGUAUAAUUUUUGUUGUUGUUGCUAUAAUUCAUGUUGCUGUUGUUGUUAUAGCUUUUGCAGUGCGUCCGUAAAUGUAUGCGUGUGUGUAUAUCUGACGUUAUUGGUAGCAAUGCACUUUGAUAGUAGAUGUCAUUUCCUCUAACGUUCUUAAACAGUAAACACCAUAUAGCCAUUGAAAAUAACCAGAAAGAAAAUUCAUAAUUAAAAAAAAAAUAAGAAAUAAAAUAAAACAUUUUUAAUUUUCAAACAAAGUGAAUUAUUUAAAACAUAAAAUUGAUAAAAUUUUGAUAAACAACAUACAAUUAAUAAUAAAAGAAAAAUGUAAAAAAGAACUUAAUUAAUUUUACAAGAUAAAAAAAUAAUAACUUAAACAACAACUACAACAAAUAAAAAAACACUAAAAGAGAUCAUUGGACCGCCUGCGUAACACUGUGUUGCAUUGAUAUAUAUAUUUUUCUUUAAUAUUGUUGUUGUUGUCUUUUUAAUCUCCCUUUCAUAUGUACAUGUGAGUGUGUUCAAAAGUGCGUGUAUAUGUCAAUCAAUAUCUCUGUGUAUGUGUACUUUUAAUCCACUGUGUCUGUUAAAUAUCCGCAUAAAAAAUAAAUUUAUAUACAAUUUUAUAAAAAAAAAUAAAAAAAAAAAUCUCGCGAUUUUUUAUUUCUUAUUCGCCUUUUGCAUUCAUUAUUAAUUUCUGCCUACGUUAUAAAUCUUUCAUCAGAAGACAGACAUUCCAGUUGUUCUUGUUGGUGUUUUCUCUUUUCUGCUUGCCAUACUUUUUUUUUUUUUUAAACAUAAGAGCAAAAUUGAAAAAAAAGUAAAAAAUUUUUAUCUUUAUGAAAAAAAAACAACAAAAUAUAAAUUAAUAAAAAAAAUCGCCCAAAAAGGGAAAUAAUUGCAAUUUCUUGUGUAAUAUUUACUUUAAACACUACGGCCUAAUGCUUCAACUUAUUUUCUUGGACAAUAAUUCUUUUCUAUAAUUUCCAUUAUUUAAACUACCGCUUUUUUCACAUUGAAGUGAAAUGAACCGAAAUGUUUCAUCCAAAUGUCGUCUUUUUACCAUAAUUUUUGAAUGCAAAUAUAAACCUAACUACUCAAAUGAUGGCCAUAACCUUUAGCAGUCUUCGGAACCUAAAAUGGAUGCAUAUGAUAAAUGUAUACAGUAUGAGACAAAAAUAUUAGGAAACUAAAUAUUAAAAAAGGGUUGUUUAAAUAAUGUCUAAUAUAAGCCCGAGACACCUUUAGCAUUAAGACACCAAUAACCAACUAAACUAUCAAGCCAUGACUUUCACAACAACAGGUACUUCGAACCGGAACGACUCGGAGUUUAACGAACAAAUACCAACGAUUGUUAUCAACUCAGUCAGCUGCUACAACAACAGCUACAAACUACCUACUCUGAAUGAGUCCAUAUCAAAGGCAACUCACAGAAAUCGGAAAGUAAAGAUAAAAUAUUUAGAAUUCUACAAAGCUUUUAUUCAAAUAUUCUUAUAUAUUUAAACAGAAAACGCCGGAAAGGAAUUGUCAGGAUAAAAUGGAAACAUUUGAUGUAUCAUCAUCUUCCUUGAGGGAUAAUGUUUGAGUUUUAUAAUAAAUUCUUAUUAUUACAAAAAUCGUCAUUAUUUAUUUAUAUUUUACAGCAAAACGUAUUUGACGUAUUAUAUUAUUAUUUGAACGAAUAUUUUUUAAACCACUGUAAAUCAUACAUUAUUAAAAAGAAUUAAUAAAUGUAUACCACAAUACCUCAAAAAAGUAGUACAUAAUCUCCUUUUCACUUAAAAACAUUCCCAAACACUACCGCAGUAUAACAAAUUAAUAACAAUGAUUGUGACGUCACCAACAAAAAAUUGUGCAAAAAUUUCCAACUUAAAAUUUACCCGUAAUCGAUUUCUUAACACCAGGCGCUCAGAAUGUUAGAAAAAAGAGAAGGUACAUUUUAUAGGAAAAAUCUAGUGCAUACUUCAGAGUUGUAAAAAGUAUUUGAAUCAUAGUGUUUUGCUUUUUCAGCUACAGGAUGACUCAAAUAAUUUUCUCAUCCCUAAAGUAUGCUGUAAAUUAUUUCUCAAUAAAAUUACUCUUUAUUGAUUUGUGUGUUUGAUAUUAGGACAUCGAUUACAGGUAAAAUAUCUAGUUGGAAUUUUUGGAAAAAGUAUUUCACAUAAUAAAAACAUAAAUUAUUAAUUUAUAAUAAU
RNAcentral lists this long non-coding RNA (2391 nucleotides) under Lucilia cuprina (Australian sheep blowfly). RNAcentral describes it as "uncharacterized LOC111687850, transcript variant X1". Lineage: Eukaryota; Metazoa; Arthropoda; Insecta; Diptera; Calliphoridae. The record is from RNAcentral.